Gordonia araii NBRC 100433 is the source of this 202-nucleotide non-coding RNA. The record is from Rfam. NCBI's taxonomy places the organism in Bacteria, Bacillati, Actinomycetota, Actinomycetes, Mycobacteriales, Gordoniaceae.
CAUCGGCGCCCGCCAACCGUUUGGCGGCACCGAGCAGACGAGAGGGAAUCCGGUGCGAAUCCGGAACUGACCCCGCAGCGGUGAAUCGGAAACGACCACUGUCAACGCACUGGGCCCCGCCUGGGAAGCGACAGUCAGUAGGUGCGGUCUAUGCGACCGCGUGCCGAUGAGUCCGAAGACCUGCCAGUUGUACCGGGCACGC